Molecule: unclassified non-coding RNA, 2965 nt
Filed under: Hevea brasiliensis (rubber tree)
Lineage: Eukaryota; Viridiplantae; Streptophyta; Magnoliopsida; Malpighiales; Euphorbiaceae
Source: RNAcentral
GUUGGAUUAAAUGAGGCUAAAAAAAAAAAAAAAUCAAAUGCACGUUUGGUUACAGAAGUCAGUACAGAAUAUGCCUACUAUUAAGCUUAAAGGUCAUAUUUACAACUCCUAAGCUGGCUUGGAAAGGAUAAUAUUAUUCAUGUACAACUUAUAGUAUCAUUGCUUAAUCUGCACAAGUUGGGUAAUACUAAUAUGGGUUUUGUUUAUCCUGCCUAAUGCAUAACAAAACAAAUCUAUGCUACAAAUAAUAAUGAGCUAACAAUGUUUAAUAAUGUCUCUCUUCUUCAUUCUGUAUUUUCCUUCCACUCUUUUUAACUUCGUUUUGAGUAACAAAUUGUUGCAAUUUCGCCCAGCUUCGAGUUCAAUAAUGAAAUCAUACCUGAGCAUUUUCUGUUCUAUGUUUUUGGAGUUCGUCUUGAGCACAUACUAGCCUCCACUGCAACUCCGUUAUUUCAUGAAGUAACUCUUUCUCCCUGUCAUGUGCAGCUUCUAGCAAAGAUCUCUCUGUGGAACCUAAUUGUGCCAGUGUGGAUCCUCCAUCAGUGGCGCGGUUGGCUGAAUUGUCGCAACCACAAACUUGCUUCAUUAGAGUAAGAAUAGUAUCCCUCUGAAGAAUAUUUGUCUGCAAAACUGAAUUCAACAGUGGAAACAGAGAAUGACCAGAAAGAGUUGAUGACACAGCAUCAGAAGAUGAUGGUAUAGACAUUAUAGGAUGUUGGUGAAGCACCUGCAUACUAUGACUCUUUUGCAAUAUAGGAAGUGCAACUGCCUUUUCUAUACCAACAUUCUCCGAAGUCACUUUGAAACGUCCCCUUUGCUGAACAACUGGUGGUUUUGCUUUCUCAUCAAGUUCAUCACUGUUAGGUGCUGAUAAUUUAGAUGCUUUAGGAGGAUUUUCAGAAAGUACAUCCUCACCUUCUGGACUGGAAUUAUUUUGUGGUUGAUUUUGCAACUUAUCACUUUCUCCUUUAUUAGGAGGAAAUAAAUUUUCUGGUAAAGUAGAGCCACCUAAACCUCCUGAUUUUUGUUGAGAAGGUAUGCCCUCCAUUGAUCUUCCAUUGAUCUCAAAAAUAGAUUUUUCGGACACAUUGUUUUCCACACUAUCAUCAGGUGGUGAAGAAAUAUGUGAAACGUAUUGUUCAUCAUGUGGACGUGCAAUACUGGAGUCAUCAUCAGAUUUUUCACUUCUAACUCUGGAAAACAAAUUAUUAGUUUUUUUAGAUCUGAGUCAACGUAAUCAGAAGCACUUCCCAUUAACAAUUAAUUAAUACAUCAUUCCUAUAUCCAAGUAUAGCUUUGACCUUGCAGAAGCACUCAUCUUCUAUAUUAUGAUUACUUCCUAUGAGCGAAUUAACAAUGAACUAAAAGGAAAAGAUUGGUUCAGAAGAUACUUGGCAAUAUUUACAGAUGAGUUGACUGAUGGAACAGGAUUGGGUUGAUUUUGUAUUGGAUCAUUAUCAUCCACUUCUGCAAUUUGUCCCAAGGAUGAGUGCUGAGACUCUAAUUGCUUUUCAAGUGUAUCAACUGUAGGCAAUGUACUUGAGAUUCCUCCCAGAUUAUUAUCAGCUAUAGGGUCCUCAACAUCUUGUAUCAGGGAAGCUUGAGCCUUCAUAUCUUCUAGAUUGAAGUUCCAACCACUAAUUCCUCGUUUAUAUUCAUUCUGAGAUAUUUCCUCUUUCUGUCCAUCUGGUAUCUUCUUUUGUGCAAGCAUAUCCUCUUCUUUUCUCUUCAAUGCCUUAAUACGAUCACCAAGAGCAGGCAAUCCUUCCAAAAGUGUCCUUGAUAUGUAGUCAUUUGACCUAGCUUGCUUAAAAAAGGAAUGCUUUAACAACUUCUUUGCAGAUGGCCUUUUCGAAGGAUCUUUUACCAAGCAACUAGCAAUCAUCUGCUUAAAAGACUUAGAGAAUUUAUUAUCCCUUUCGUAAUCUAGGCCGGGAGGUGCAUUUUGCAAAGUCAUUAGCAAUACCUUCAUUGGAGGAUAUUUUGAGAAUGGAGCAUGCCCAUGAGCAAGCUCUAAAGCAGUUAUCCCAAAUGACCAAAUAUCAGCCUUGAAAUCAUAUCCAUGCAACUGCUCCAUGACCUCAGGUGCCAUCCAGCAAGGUGUCCCCACAAAUGUAUUCCUCAUGCGUUGCCUAUCACCUGAAUCAAAAAGGCAAGCAGAAACACCAAAAUCUCCCAACUUGAUUGCACCACGUGGAUCAAUGAGAAUGUUUCCCGCUUUAACAUCUCGAUGUAUGUGACCAUGAUGGUGAAGAUACUCCAAGCCCUUCAACACCUCUCGUAGUAUUGUUGCUAUCACUGCCUCUUCAAAACCAUCUGGAUAAGCAGCUUUCAAUAUGUGAAGACAAGAACCCCCAGCCAUGAAUGGCAUGACAACCCACAGAUUAUGAUCACUAACAAAGGAGCAGUGUGAUUUGAGAACAUUUGGAUGGUCAACCAAGAUCAUUGUUUGUACUUCACGAGAAAUGUUACUCAGAUCACAAUUAUCGCGUUCAAAGUCAAGAAUCUUGAUUGCAACAAUCUCAUCAAAGGGAAUACACAAAGCCCGAUGCACUGAAGCACUCACACCUUGCCCAACCUCCUCAUACAGAACGUAAAACUCCGGCCCAAUCGGAUACUUCUUCUUCUCCAUUAUUUUCAACCAAAAAAAAAAGGAAAAAAAAAUCACAAUCUACCGCAGCAACCUCAAAAUCUGAAGCUGAAAGAAGAUGAAGAGAUCCGAAACUCAGGCAAAUUACAUUCGAUCGUGGCUUUUAUCUGCAAUUAUAGUAUCCAUGAGCUGAAAAGAAAAGAAAUGAUUCACACAUGAAGGAGAAGAGAGAGGAGUGAAGAGAAAGGAAAGAAAAGCAGAGAGAGAGAGAGAGGAGGAAGCAUUGAUGAGGAAGACGUUGUUGAUGUUCCCCGUGAAAAUAUGAGAGAAAGCGGAGCUAUCGGAUAGCCGCUCAAAUUUUCCGCCAUGUUUGUG